GCAGUCGUGGCCGAGUGGUUAAGGCGAUAGACUAGAAAUCCACUGGGGUCUCCCCGCACAGGUUCGAAUCCUGUCGACUGCG
Ixodes scapularis (black-legged tick) is the source of this 82-nucleotide non-coding RNA. The record is from Rfam. Lineage: Eukaryota; Metazoa; Arthropoda; Arachnida; Ixodida; Ixodidae.